RNAcentral lists this long non-coding RNA (4103 nucleotides) under Homo sapiens (human). Its description in RNAcentral is "HSALNT0267161". The record is from RNAcentral. Lineage: Eukaryota; Metazoa; Chordata; Mammalia; Primates; Hominidae.
CGGAACUUUAUCUCUUCCAGGCUGAUAUUUUCCAAAAACAGCAAGCAUGCCCCAUUUUCAAGGAAGAGCUUAUAAAAGCUCUUCUCUCACUAAUGACUUUCUCAGAUGGGCAAUGCUGUAUUCUGUGGGCAUGAAAGGCAAAGAAAACUAAACAGUGAGUGGGACCUAUAUCUGGUUCCUUAUAUUUUCGAAUGUUUUGAUUUCCACCAUCUCAGCCAUUGGGGAAAUCCUAUCCUCGGAUUAGGAACCAUGCUCAUGGAGAAUUUAGAGGAGGAAAAUCUUUACAUUGAAGGAGAGGGAUUCUCAGUAGAUUGCCACACUGGUCUCAAACUCUUUGCUUUAAGUUGUCUUCCUGCCUCAGCCUCCCUAGUCACUGGGAUUACAGGUCUUCAGGUUACAAACAAUAACAAACACCACCAAAGGACAGGCUUCAGAAAAAUGGAAAAUUGAUCUAACAAGGAAGAAGUAUUAUGAAGCAAUGUUAAAAAGAAAUUGGUAAUAAUUGCCAACAGAGAAAACCCUUCAAAGAGAGUUGCUGCUUUUCCUAAGGGUUUCCAAGGAUCCAAAAACCUUCGGAAGUUCCAAGGAUCAAGUCCCAGGAUCUAAGCUGGACCUUUCCUGGAACAAAUUCCUUCAGACAAAUUCUCCACCAGACCAUCAACUCAGGAGGGCAAACAAGGAACUUGUUUUCAAGAGCUGGAGCCAAACCACCCAGAGUUUCCUGUGCCAGGUGAGCAUGAAGAGGGGCCGAAGUCACCCAUUACUAACCCCUCACCCAUGACUGCCUGAAAGGUAUGUCUCAGGCUUUAACCAUGAAACCUGUUUCCUCUCUCCCCUCCAAAGUCCAGCCCAGAGAGGCAUGAUAAAAUCACUUAGCAAAUGGAAAAUAUUUUGUGCUUAUUCUAAGAAAUGUGAUCCAUCAAAAAUGAGCUGACAAGUCAUUUCAUUUCCAAGGACAGUGUCCACAUACUCCAGGCAGCCUCUGGACCUGGAAUAAGACACAUCUAAGCCACAGGCCAGUAAGGACCAUACAGCUAUAACGUUAUGAGUGAUUCUGUAGCAUGGUUUUAAGGCACCAGCUGCACAGUCAGACUGCCUGGUUUCAGCCCAGCUCCCUCAUUUGCUAGCUGUGAAAACUGGGUGAAUUGCUUAAGCAACCCUUAAUGACAUUUUGUUGUUUUAAAAACGGCAAUAAUAAUAAUACUCCCUUCUUCAUAUGAUUGUUUUGAGAUUUGGAUAAGGCAAUAGGUGCUUUAUUCGAUAAGGACCCUAGAACAUACAAAUCUAUUUUAAAAAUGCUAUUAAUAUGGUUUUGCCCUAAAAAGGCAGGUUCUUCUGUUUCUCAAAUCUGACAAAGUUUUGUCAGACUCUUGAAUUCUCAUUAAUAGUUCCAACACAGACUAUUAAUGCUGUUAGUUUUGACCAAAUACAUGACUCAUGAAUUAACUAACUCUUACUUGGUAAUCUGAAGGAAUCAAUAAAAUCCACACUUAAUUCCCCCUAAAUCAACUGAACAACUAUGGACUAUGGAAUUGGGGAGAUCUGUCUAAAUGGCAGCAAUAUCAACUACGAAAAAUAUUUAUUUAGAGUCUGGGUAGGUACCAAGUUCAAUGAACUGCUUAGAGAGUCUGUGUUGCUUUGGUGACUGUUCUAGGCAGUGCUAAUUUUGCUACAAUUUCCUUUCUUAAGUAAGUCACAACCAGAAUAAAAACAAAGUUCUAGAAAUCCCAUAUUUUUACAAACUGGAUUGAUGAAACCAGUUUUUAAAAUAUCAGAGGACCAGACUGAAAAAGAAACCAGGUGUAGCAAAAGGCAACUCUUCUGGAAACUGAAAAUUCAAAGAAACAUGGUAAUCUCACUGUAUUAAUUUUCUUUUCCUCUUGUAACAAAUUACCACAAGCUUAGUGGCUUAAAACAACACAAAUUUAUAUCCUACAGUUUGUGGAGAAGUAUGAAGUGGGUCUUCCAGGGCUAAAAUCAGUGCUGGUAGAGAGGGGGUACAGAGAAUCUGUUCCUAUUCUUUUCAGCUUCUAGAGAAAGCCUGGGUUCCUUGGCUCAAAGUUUCUUCCAGCAGGGGCAUCUCUCUGACCUCUGUUUCCACUGCCUCAGCUCCUACUCUCACUCGAACCCUCCUGCAUCCCUCUUAUAGGAACCCUUGUGAUUACACUGAGCCUUCUCAAUCAAUGCAGGAUAAUCUUCUAUCUAUCUCAAGACCCGUAAUGUAAUCACAUCUGCAAAGUCCCUUUUGCCAUUUGAGGUAACAAAUCCAUAGGCUCCAAGAAUUAAGAUAUGGACAUCUUUUAGGGGACCAUUCUUCUGACUACCAUACUCCCCUAGCUGAAGAAUUAUUGUGUGAAACAGGGAUAAAGGCAGAACUAAUAUAAAUGAGUCAAAGUGGCCAGGAGGUGAAAUUUGGCUCCAAACAGAAGAAUCUCAAUAAUGAUAAGAGGUGAGUGAAAAAGGACAGGAGCUUUUGAGGAGGAUGUGGGCUCUUUAUCACUAGGGCUGAGCCUCUCUUUCUAAACAUUCACUCCCUCUGCCCAUGUUGGGGUUUUGAUUGCAUGGCAUUUGAGGGUCUUUCCAAUUUUAAGCUUCCAGGUCUUUGAAAAUUUGGAAGGUGUGUCAGUCAGUGUAUAGGCUAGGCUAUGCUGGGUAACAACCAAUCCCCCAAAUCUCAGUGAUUUCAAUCAACACAUCCAUUGUUGGACUGCAUUAGCUCUGGUCGUUGUGGUCCUCUAGGGACUAAAGAGACACCACCACUGCAGACAUAGCUAGCCACAGUGCCAGCAGGAUAGAGAGUUCUGGAGGGUCUAGAAAGAGCAACUGAUACCCUGGUCCACAAGGGUCACACAACACUUACACUAACAGCUCCUCAGUCAGAACUAGUCACAAGUCUCUGGCCAACUAAAAGGAAGACCAGGAUAAAGAGCCAAUCUGGAAGGCAAAGAAACAGAAAUAUUGACGAGUGCAAAUAGUGACUGUGACAGGAAACAAUUGACCCUCUCCAUCAAUCAAUUCACAGAUUUUAGUCAUAAAAGGAGUCAUAAAACUCUUUUGACCCCUAAAGAGUUUUUCUAAACAGGGUGACGGUCAAUCGAUUAUCCUAGGCUCACUGAUGCAACAAGAUUGUCUUAAGCAUGUUCUUCUUUCUUGAUUUUAGCUCCAUGGUUAGGGUUUCACUUUCAAAAGAUUAAUAAUAAGGUGAUAAUGAUGAUGAUAAUGAUGAUGAUGAUGGUAAUGCAUGCUUUUUGAAAAUCACAGUGUACUGAGCAUUGUACUCAGCAUUUUCCACAUUUAUUUUUUGAAUCUCAGGCAUAGAGGCAUGAGUGAAUCACACUUCUGAUUUCAUAGCAUACUUCUAUUGUAAGACUCAUACAAAGACUCUCUCAUGGUGUAUUUUAUUCAUGUGUCCCCUCUCCUCAUUUUAUCAACCAUAAUGUCUUUGAUAUGAUACCUUAAUAUUUUGUAUAUUUUUGCAAAUUGUAUAGUGUUGUUGUUAUGUAGGUAUUUUUAAUUCUAUAAAAGUAUAUUCAUGUAUACUGGUUCUGUUUAUUUCUUCCUUACAUUCGGAUCUUACUGCAUUUAUGAGUAUAUGUCUCACGUAGUUAAUGUCUUAUAACAGUAACGUAAUAUUCCAUACUGUGUGUCCAUUAUAGUUCCCUUAGCUUUUCCCCUGCAAUGGAACAUCUAGGUUGUCUAAUGUUCCCUGAUACUUUAAACCAGGGGUCAGCAAACAUUUUUUAUAAAGAGUGACACAGUAAAUAUAUUUGGCUUUGGGGGUUCUGAAGUCUUGGUUUUAAGGAUUUUGCUGCUGUUAUACCAUAAAAGCAGCCAUAGACAGUGCACAAAUACAUGCCUGUGGACAUAUUUGGCCCAUUGGUCAUAUUUGACAAUCCCUAGUUCAAACACCAUGGUGAUGAAUAUCCUCUAUGUGUUCCCUUAUGAAAUUGGGGCUAGAUGUUCUCUCAAAUAUACUGUACAAACAAGAGUGAGAUUGCAGCAUCAUAAGAUAUGCCCAAACAUCAUUAGACUAAGUAUUUCUGGUUGCAUCAGCCUGUUCUCUUAACAACAGUUAAUAAAAAUAAGAGCCCUCAGAAAUAACG